UUAUUGUCGUUGGUCAUCCAAUCAACAUGUAUGAAGUAAUAAAAUUGAAGGGGAUGAGUGCGUCAUCAAGGAAUGUGUGUGAGGGAAUGUUCCUCAUCCUUUCAAAAUGGAAAUGAUUUUAAACAUUGCAAAUACUUCAACAUAGGUACAUUUGUACACCCUUGUACAUUAAGCACAGGUACCUUGUACACUUAGUGUAAAUGUCUUGUACACAGACAUAAAUUCCAUACAACCACUACUGAAUGUAUACUCAUGCAUAGGAAGAUUCAGAGUUUUCACUCUGGUGACAUGGCAUUUCACGUUUACCAGCUGUGAAACCCAUUAUUUUACAACAAUUUGAGUUGGAAAUGUAAAGGCCAUUUUCGUCUGUUAACAUUUGAUAUCCUUAUCAUUAAUUAGGUCAGUUAGAUGGACCAUUUCUUAAUUUUUGGGCCCAGCUGGGCCCAAAACACAAUUCUCCUGUGUUUUGUUUUUUAUACUACAAUGAGAUCGGUUUCUUAAUUAAGAAACAUGUGUCGGUCAAGAAAGAUUCACGGUAUGACUUAUAAUAAUCAAAUACGAUAAACCCUAGAUGACAACAUGCACAAAAUAUAUACACAUUGAUGAUUCUUAUCGUAUAAUAAAUCCCGAAAAAAGACAUGCAUCGUUUGUAGUUAGAGCCUAACCCCUCAUCAACAAUGGAUGAAACAAUAAAACAUGAGCUAAAAAAAUGUUAAUAUGGUUGCGUGCUUAAAAAACAAUAUCACAAUGUAUUGUAAGUAGGUUUUACGAAUGACACAAGCUUGAUUAAUUAAUCAAAAACCCGAUCACCUACUAAUUACACAAUGCAUGAACGGUACACCUAAACUGACUGCAUUGUCAUGACCCAAAAUGGAAUCACAUGGAUUGAGCUCAUUUUCAUGAAUAAAUCAAGCAUUUUUACUCGUUUCAUUGAUAUAAUCACCGUAGUAGACCUAGACUCAUUGUGAU
This 969-nucleotide long non-coding RNA is filed under the name Vitis vinifera (wine grape). RNAcentral's name for it is "long non-coding RNA (VVIN_LNC008263)". Lineage: Eukaryota; Viridiplantae; Streptophyta; Magnoliopsida; Vitales; Vitaceae. The record is from RNAcentral.